CUGUCAUGUUACAUAGGGCAUGAAAUGAAGGAGUUAACCUCAUGUACUGCAGUAUGUGGGGAGAAGUUUCUAGAUUGCCAUGAGGCCAGGAGAUCGUUGGGGAGAGCAUGAGGACGGAAGGGAAAGGGGCCCCUGCGCAUGCUGUGACAGUUAGUCCCAGACAAACUGUACCUGUGAGAGAGGCAGCAUCCCGGCGGGCAGCUCUAGUGACAGAGCAGAGAGCGGGGGACAGAGACGCUGGCAGAGAGGCAGUCCUGGUAGCGGCGAUGCUAGAGACGCUGCAGGCAUGGAAAUAGGCGCUGGCAAAAAGAUAGUCUCGGUGACAGUGAGGCUGGAGAACGCUGCAGGUAGAUAAAUAGCCCCUGGCGUAGAGGCAGUCCCGGUGAUGUUGGAGAGCCAGAGAGCUGUGCAAUAGAGGCGCAGUCAACCAGAGUAAGAAGGAGAACGGUGAGGAGUGAGAUCCUGUCAGUGCUGAGGACUCACUGAUUGGUACAAGAACUACAAUAAGAGGUACCUACACUAUCUGGCUUACAAUAAUCAGACAGAGGGGGUGGAGAGGCAGAGCGUAGAGGAACAAGAGGAGUCGGGGGAGCUACCAGAGGUGGGAAUGUUUGUUGGAACGGUCUAAAGAAUUUAUUGACGCUGAUAGUCCAACUAUAGUUGUACAAUAAAGCUGUUAUACUUA
Molecule: long non-coding RNA, 685 nt
Organism: Pseudophryne corroboree (corroboree frog)
Lineage: Eukaryota; Metazoa; Chordata; Amphibia; Anura; Myobatrachidae
Exons: 2
Source: RefSeq, a predicted model, not a curated record